This 65-nucleotide transfer RNA is filed under the name Maurya qinlingensis. RNAcentral's name for it is "tRNA-Ala". Lineage: Eukaryota; Metazoa; Arthropoda; Insecta; Hemiptera; Membracidae. RNAcentral also lists the same sequence under 1 other name. The record is from RNAcentral.
AAAGUUAUAGUUAAUUAUAACAUUUAAUUUGCAAUUAAAAAGUCCUUAAAUUAAAGGUUUCUUUG